GUGCCAGCCGCCGCGGUAACACCAGCGGCUCGAGUGGUAACCGAUUUUAUUGGGCCUAAAGCGUCCGUAGCCGGACCGACGGGUCCCUUGUGAAAUCGGACGGCUUAACCGUUCGGCUUGCAGGGGAAACUGUCGGUCUUGAGGCUGGUAGGCGCCGAGGGUACUCCAGGGGUAGCAGUGAAAUGCUAUAAUCCUUGGGGGACCGCCAGUGGCGAAAGCGCUCGGCGAGGCCAGACCUGACGGUGAGGGACGAAGGCCAGGGUAGCAAACCGGAUUAGAUACCCGGGUAGUCC
RNAcentral lists this ribosomal RNA (293 nucleotides) under uncultured bacterium. RNAcentral describes it as "partial 16S ribosomal RNA". It matches the Rfam family "Archaeal small subunit ribosomal RNA", at positions 455 to 747 of the family's 1478-position model. The record is from RNAcentral.